AGAGGUAAGGGUGAUCUGGCUGUGACAUCUGGCACCCCUCUGAUUGGCAGGGUUGAUUUGGAUGAUCUGGCUGGCUGGGUGGGUGUUCCUUUCCUCCCUUACUGCUCCAAGUGCAUCCCUCCUGAAGCUGCAUGCUCAGUAAAAAGGAUGACCUUCCCUGAACAGAGGAGGGCUGGUCUUCGGUCAACGGUGUAUGAAUAGCUGUGCUCCCCUGCUAGAACCUCUAACAAAGUUCUUAGGGUACUGGUGAGAUGGCUCAGCAGUAAGGCACUUGUCUGCAAAGCCUAACAACCUGGUU
Molecule: small nuclear RNA, 298 nt
Filed under: Jaculus jaculus (lesser Egyptian jerboa)
Lineage: Eukaryota; Metazoa; Chordata; Mammalia; Rodentia; Dipodidae
Description: 7SK RNA (ENSJJAG00000001927.1)
Rfam family: 7SK RNA
About the family: 7SK was discovered as an abundant small nuclear RNA in the mid-70s but a possible function has only recently been suggested.
Source: Rfam by way of RNAcentral